GACGAACGCUGGCGGCGUGCUUAACACAUGCAAGUCGAACGCUGAAGCUUGGUGCUUGCACUGGGUGGAUGAGUGGCGAACGGGUGAGUAAUACGUGUGUAACCUGCCCUUGACUCUGGGAUAAGCCUGGGAAACUGGGUCUAAUACUGGAUACGACAUGUCACCGCAUGGUGGCGUGUGGAAAGGGGUUUAUUGGGUUUGGAUGGGCUCCGGGCCUAUCAGCUUGUUGGUGGGGUAAUGGCUCACCAAGGCGAGGAUGGGUAGCCGGCCUGAGAGGGUGACCGGCCACACUGGGACUGAGACACGGCCCAGACUCCUACGGGAGGCAGCAGUGGGGAAUAUUGCACAAUGGGCGAAAGCCUGAUGCAGCGACGCCGCGUGAGGGAUGACGGCCUUCGGGUUGUAAACCUCUUUCAGCAGGGAAGAAGCGAAAGUGACGGUACGUGCAGAAGAAGCGCCGGCUAACUACGUG
This 472-nucleotide ribosomal RNA is filed under the name uncultured bacterium. Its description in RNAcentral is "partial 16S ribosomal RNA". It matches the Rfam family "Bacterial small subunit ribosomal RNA", at positions 28 to 507 of the family's 1533-position model. The record is from RNAcentral.